AUUAUAAUAGUUUAAUUUCAAAACUCUGAGUUGUGGUCUCAGUAAUAUAGCUUUCUAUUUUUAAUC
RNAcentral lists this transfer RNA (66 nucleotides) under Neoamphitrite affinis. RNAcentral describes it as "tRNA-His". Lineage: Eukaryota; Metazoa; Annelida; Polychaeta; Terebellida; Terebellidae. The record is from RNAcentral.